AUGUGUGUGUGUGUUUUAGUAUAUGUAUUUGACUUUACCACCUAACAGUGAAAUGCACUGUUAUUGAAAGUUACAACGACUAGGUUUCAUUAGAAACUGAAAAUUGUUUCACACUUUCAAUUCCAACCAAAGUCACAGUGUUCGAUUACGAGACUGAUGAUGUGUGAAUAAUGAAAGUAAUGUUUCUCCGAAUUAGUCAAAUCUGUAUUAUAAUAAAGAAAGUCACUUAUGCUAUCUUUCGUUUUGACUUGCAGAGCUGUCAUCUGCGUUUGUUAAUUUCCGUAAACAUUUUUUUAUUUAUUUACUUUUGUUUUAAAGUGAAACAGAGAAGAAAAUGAAAGAUGUAUGUACGUGUAUAUGAAAUGGACGUGUGAGAGA
Long non-coding RNA from Octopus sinensis (East Asian common octopus), 378 nucleotides. RefSeq lists it as uncharacterized. The transcript is spliced from 3 exons. The record is from RefSeq and is a predicted model, not a curated record. Lineage: Eukaryota; Metazoa; Mollusca; Cephalopoda; Octopoda; Octopodidae.